This 851-nucleotide ribosomal RNA is filed under the name Hematodinium sp. ex Callinectes sapidus. Its description in RNAcentral is "eukaryotic LSU rRNA". It matches the Rfam family "Eukaryotic large subunit ribosomal RNA", at positions 1 to 671 of the family's 3401-position model. The record is from RNAcentral. Lineage: Eukaryota; Dinophyceae; Syndiniales; Syndiniaceae.
GACAUGAGUCAGGCAAGGCUACCCGCUGAAUUUAAGCAUAUAAGUAAGCGGAGGAAAAGAAACCAAAUGGGAUUCCCCUAGUAAUGGCGAAUGAACAGGGAUCAGCUCAAAUUGAGAAUCGUCGCCAUCUUGAUAUGGCGGUGAAUUGUAGUCUGAAGGUGGUUACCAGUGAGGACGCCAGAGUAAUUCUCUUGGGAUAGAGCUUCGUAGAGGGUGAGAUACCCGUCUGCCUCUAGCUUUCUCCUCACGUACGGUAGCACCCUAAUGAGUCGCGUUCCUCGGAAUUGGAGCGCUAAGUAGGUGGUAAAUUUCACCUAAAGCUAAAUAUUGAACCGAGACCGAUAGUAAACAAGUACCGUGAGGGAAAGGUGAAAAGGACUUUGGAAAGAGAGUUAAAAGUGCCUGAAAUCGCUGGAAUGUAAGCGAAUGGAACUAGUUCCAGCCAGUGAGAUUGCAUGCAGAAGCUAGUCAGGCCCUUUGCUGUUUCGUCUACUUAUUUUAUAGGUGGAGUUCGUAGGGGUGCUCUUUGGUUAGUUGAUGUGUGCGAUACUCGCUGGAGGACGUCAACAUCAGUGCAAUUGUAAAGGGAUAUUGAAUGGGGUCUCUUUAGGGAUCCUUACGGGUCUCUAUACCCAUUUUAAUUGUUUACUUUUCGUACUGAGGACAUAAUCUUAAGCGUUUGGAGGUGUCAGCGAUGUCACAAAUACCUUUCGUGUAUUAUUUUAUCGUGAAGGCUGGGUCCACUGCUUGCACUGUGGGCUUUUCUCAGCGGUAAGUGUCGUCGCUUAUCUUUCAUUCCACGAUGUUGACUAAAUGGUUCUAUCCGACCCGUCUUGAAACACGGACCAAGG